AUUGAUUUUGAUGAUUACAAAGCAUUUGAAGGGGUACUAAUGAUUUUCGCUUGAAAAAGACUUAUUGCUUUUCAGGGGCAAAAUCAUAAUUUUACCAAACCCUGAUUUGAAAGCAUCAAGUGAUAGAACAAAAGAUUUAUGAUCCAUUGGUGAAAAUUUUAUUAUUUUUGGACAUGUAUUUUGAAAGAUAUCCAUGUUUGAAAAUUUGAGUCGACC
Molecule: long non-coding RNA, 216 nt
Filed under: Elaeis guineensis (African oil palm)
Lineage: Eukaryota; Viridiplantae; Streptophyta; Magnoliopsida; Arecales; Arecaceae
Description: long non-coding RNA (EGUI_LNC066729)
Source: RNAcentral